CUAACUGGCAUGAGAUGGUAUCUCAAUGUAGUUUUGAUUUGCAUUUCUCUAAUGACCAGUGAUCAUGAGCAUUUUUUCCUAUGUUUUUUGGCCUCAUAUAUGUCUUCUUUUUAAAAGUGUCUUUAUAUCCUGUGCCCACUUUUGAAUUUAUGGUUGUAUUCCUAG
Sapajus apella (tufted capuchin) is the source of this 165-nucleotide long non-coding RNA. RefSeq lists it as uncharacterized. The transcript has 3 exons. NCBI's taxonomy places the organism in Eukaryota, Metazoa, Chordata, Mammalia, Primates, Cebidae. The record is from RefSeq and is a predicted model, not a curated record.